UACAGAGGUCCCGGGCGUGUUCGGAUUCACUGGGCGUAAAGGGUGCGUAGGUGGUUGGGUAAGUUUGAUGUGAAAGCUCAGGGCUUAACCCUGAAAUGGCAUUGAAUACUACUCAACUGGAGGUUUGGAGGGGGGACUGGAAUUCUUGGUGUAGCAGUGAAAUGCGUAGAUAUCAAGAGGAACACCAGUGGCGAAGGCGAGUCCCUGGACAACACCUGACACUGAGGCACGAAAGCUAGGGGAGCAAACAGG
RNAcentral lists this ribosomal RNA (252 nucleotides) under uncultured bacterium. RNAcentral describes it as "partial 16S ribosomal RNA". It matches the Rfam family "Bacterial small subunit ribosomal RNA", at positions 524 to 776 of the family's 1533-position model. The record is from RNAcentral.